AGAGCGAACGCUGGCGGCAGGCUUAACACAUGCAAGUCGAGCGGGCGUAGCAAUACGUCAGCGGCAGACGGGUGAGUAACGCGUGGGAACAUACCUUUUGGUUCGGAACAACACAGGGAAACUUGUGCUAAUACCGGAUAAGCCCUUACGGGGAAAGAUUUAUCGCCGAAAGAUUGGCCCGCGUCUGAUUAGCUAGUUGGUGAGGUAAUGGCUCACCAAGGCGACGAUCAGUAGCUGGUCUGAGAGGAUGAUCAGCCACAUUGGGACUGAGACACGGCCCAAACUCCUACGGGAGGCAGCAGUGGGAAUAUUGGACAAUGGGCGCAAGCCUGAUCCAGCCAUGCCGCGUGAGUGAUGAAGGCCCUAGGGUUGUAAAGCUCUUUUGUGCGGGAAGAUAAUGACGGUACCGCAAGAAUAAGCCCCGGCUAACUUCGUGCCAGCAGCCGC
Molecule: ribosomal RNA, 447 nt
Filed under: uncultured bacterium
Lineage: Bacteria
Description: SSU rRNA
Rfam family: Bacterial small subunit ribosomal RNA
Source: RNAcentral